RNAcentral lists this long non-coding RNA (449 nucleotides) under Homo sapiens (human). Its description in RNAcentral is "long non-coding RNA NONHSAT188752.1". Lineage: Eukaryota; Metazoa; Chordata; Mammalia; Primates; Hominidae. The record is from RNAcentral.
CGGCAGUCAGGCAGCGUCGCCGCCGUGGUAGCAGCCUCAGCCGUUUCUGGAGUCUCGGGCCCACAGUCACCGCCGCUUACCUGCGCCUCCUCGAGCCUCCGGAGUCCCCGUCCGCCCGCACAGGCCGGUUCGCCGUCUGCGUCUCCCCCACGCCGCCUCGCCUGCCGCCGCGCUCGUCCCUCCGGGCCGACAUGAGUGGGGACCACCUCCACAACGAUUCCCAGAUCGAAGCGGAUUUCCGAUUGAAUGAUUCUCAUAAACACAAAGAUAAACACAAAGAUCGAGAACACCGGCACAAAGAACACAAGAAGGAGAAGGACCGGGAAAAGUCCAAGCAUAGCAACAGUGAACAUAAAGAUUCUGAAAAGAAACACAAAGAGAAGGAGAAGACCAAACACAAAGAUGGAAGCUCAGAAAAGCAUAAAGACAAACAUAAAGACAGAGACAAG